ACUUUUAAAGGGUAGAAGUCAUCCACUGGCCUUAGGCGCC
Molecule: transfer RNA, 40 nt
Filed under: Abronia monticola
Lineage: Eukaryota; Metazoa; Chordata; Lepidosauria; Squamata; Anguidae
Also listed under: 1 other name
Description: partial tRNA-Xle
Source: RNAcentral